This is a long non-coding RNA of Bactrocera neohumeralis, 839 nucleotides long. RefSeq lists it as uncharacterized. Lineage: Eukaryota; Metazoa; Arthropoda; Insecta; Diptera; Tephritidae. The record is from RefSeq and is a predicted model, not a curated record. The transcript has 2 exons.
UACUCACCACACGUAUGGUCGCGAACUGAAACUCAACUAAACCUACAAAUAAUAAACGACAAAAGCGAACGACCGACGACAUACGACAGUGACUGUAUUCAAAGCUGAGCUCCAACUGAUGACUGGCAUCCAGCGCUGGUCAUAUAAUCCACCAUCGACGGCGGAGAGAUCUCUUUUCCACAUGCUGUCAUAAACAUACAUAUACAAAAGCCACCAUGAAUGCAUAGCCCGAAAGCAAAGUCGACAAAAAGUAAUAAAUGAAAAUAAGUAACAAAAGAUAAAGAAAAUUAACUACUCUCAGCCGAUUGAACAGACGCAGUUCAGCAGCUCACCAACGAGCCAGCAAACCAACCAACCGACCGAUCGACUCAUCUAACUAGUACUUGUACGUACAAAAACAACAAUAAUGCUAGCAAUGCAGUAACAACAAAAAACUGGAUAGCAAUAGCGGCGGACCAUGAGCAGAGCGUUACCGGACUUAAUUGCCAUACACAUUUUCCCAAAUCAUAAAACCGAACUGCCGUUCCACUAAAAAUAACCAAAAUGGAGGAAUAAGUUUUUAUGCAUACGACCAACACAGAGCCCAUAUCGAUAGACAGUGGAAACUCAUGAAAGUAUUUCCGAGUAUACAACUAUAACGAUCUCAGAAAAAUUAUAAAAUUUAAGGAUUUAAGAGACUGUUUGUGGAAGACGAAUGCGAAAAAAAAAAUUUUUUUAUCGACUCCGUCCAUGAACCACGAAAUAAAAAGAACGGAGUCAAGGCACGGGAUGUUUUAAAAUCUGUAAGUGAUCUAUCAAGAAAAUCUGCACUGCUGAAAUAAAGCUCACUGCUUCUAUAA